GACGAACGCUGGCGGCGUGCCUAAUACAUGCAAGUAGGACGCUGAAGGAGGAGCUUGCUUCUCUGGAUGAGUUGCGAACGGGUGAGUAACGCGUAGGUAACCUGCCUGGUAGCGGGGGAUAACUAUUGGAAACGAUAGCUAAUACCGCAUAAGAGUAGAUGUUGCAUGACAUUUACUUAAAAGGUGCAAUUGCAUCACUACCAGAUGGACCUGCGUUGUAUUAGCUAGUUGGUGAGGUAACGGCUCACCAAGGCAACGAUACAUAGCCGACCUGAGAGGGUGAUCGGCCACACUGGGACUGAGACACGGCCCAGACUCCUACGGGAGGCAGCAGUAGGGAAUCUUCGGCAAUGGACGGAAGUCUGACCGAGCAACGCCGCGUGAGUGAAGAAGGGUUUCGGAUCGUAAAGCUCUGUUGUAAGAGAAGAACGAGUGUGAGAGUGGAAAGUUCACACUGUGACGGUAUCUUACCAGAAAGGGACGGCUAACUACGUG
Molecule: ribosomal RNA, 495 nt
Filed under: uncultured bacterium
Lineage: Bacteria
Description: partial 16S ribosomal RNA
Rfam family: Bacterial small subunit ribosomal RNA
Source: RNAcentral